Molecule: small nuclear RNA, 173 nt
Organism: Crocodylus porosus (Australian saltwater crocodile)
Lineage: Eukaryota; Metazoa; Chordata; Crocodylia; Crocodylidae
Gene: U1
Rfam family: U1 spliceosomal RNA
About the family: U1 is a small nuclear RNA (snRNA) component of the spliceosome (involved in pre-mRNA splicing).
Source: Ensembl
AAACUUACACGACAGGGAAGAUCCCAUGAUCCUCUCAGCCCAUCAGGUAUAGUUAUAGGGUGAGGUCUGUCCCUUGCACUCUGGGCAGGCUGACCCCAGCGAGUUUCCCCAAUGCAGGUAACUCGACUGCACAAUCUUGUGGUAAUUGGGGACUGCAUUCUUACUUUCCCCAU